AGGAAAAAAAAAUCAGAGUAAGGUAUUCUUCGCUUCUUAGAUCCCAAAGCCUCUUCUUAGGAAUGCUCUAACAACAGACAGGCUAAGCAUCUGGGCUUCUCAUUCUAAAAGAGGAUGAAAUAGAUGGAUCUAUGUCAAGUGCUGGGAUGUCUGUUAGGAAAGCAAUCAUCCUUCAGAUUUUCUGAAUUUCCAAAGAGACUGGUUAAGAAUGGCUUCUUUUUCACUGAUAAUCUUCUGUGGGUCAUGUUUGCUUACUGCAUAUUAGUACAUAUUGUCAAACUCCCCUUCAUGGAGGUGAAGGUGGGGGCCAUGGGGUAGAGUGGGUUUUUGCUGGGCGGCCAUGUUUUGUAGUGUGCGUAUACUCUCUCUUGGAGGAGAGUGUCCUGUGCAUUCUAAGCAAAUUGCAGCAAUUUAGAAUAAUGGAUAAAGCAGUAAUGCUGCUUGGAUUUCUCAAUCAUUUACCUAAUUAUCCAUCCAGUUUUGAUUUGCCAAAUCUCUUAACACACAGUCUAAUAACCGUCUUUAUUAGAAAUGACUGGCUAUGAGUCAAGGCAGGGAAAAAUAGGUGGCUAGAGUUUCCCAACUGUGAUAGGAAUUAUACCACUGGGAACUGGCCUUGGAAAUGAGUGCAUGAGGUGCAGAAGCUAGUCAAAGACUAGGCUAAGCCAAGCUGUUCACUCUUACCCAUUACUUUCCAGAAAAUAUAAGAAAGAAGGGAAGAAUAGGGAAGAUCUUCUUAGCUAUACUGGCUGGAGAGGGCAUCUGCUCUAGCAUAAAGCACUUGGGGUGUCUGUAUCAGACUGCCCGCGCCUGCUCGCUUCUUGUUGGGUCUCUGGAGCCUCUACCUACUUGGUGUGUGCGUGACUUGCCUCCUGCAAAUAAAAGAAGAUGGGAAGAUAUGAACGAGAGAACACCAUGUUGAAAGUCAGAGUAUUCAAACAGUUUGCAGCGAUGGGGUGAGGAUAAAAGAGAAGGGAAAGGAAUUACAGAAACUUCUUUAGCAGUUCUUCUCUACUCUUCUAGACAAGUCGCAAAGAGAAUAAACAUCACGUUGCGGAUUCUGCUUUAAAGCAACUUCAAUUAAGGAGGAAGAAACCAAAAGGAAGAAAGAAAAAGAGACAAGCUCUCCUUAUUUGGACAAGCUCAGUACUUUAUAAUUAGCUUUAAUUUAUUCUUAGCAUUAACUUCCUGACGUUUACUUGCUUUAUUGGCAGAGAAGCAAGGCAAUCAAUCACUUAUUUGCUUCCCCAGAAAACCCCCAAUUAAACAAAGACUGAGUCAAUCCCAACAGUGGAUUUUAUCAUUAAGCUGGAAACCAUCGUCUACUGAGAGGCAACCCCAGGGGAUGUGGACUCUGAGAAACCUGGGACCUGCCAGAGAGAGCACUCCACCCACAGAAGACAGUAUCGGCUCAUCCCUCCCACUACCCAGGAGUUUAUAUGUAAGGGGAGAAAUAAUAGGUGGUCCACGCUGAUUUGGAAAAGCAGGUUGCUGGCAAUUUCUUCAUGGCAGCAAAUACUAAGUAAGCGUGUACAAGCACGCAGUGGGUGAGAAAUCCAUCUUAAAAAGGUAGAUGAAACAUAGGAAAGAAGAUUGAAACAGUCUACGCUUCUCAAGUUUCUUAGAAAAACGCAUGAGUACUGGCAAUAAAACGAUUUUUCUUAU
Long non-coding RNA from Equus caballus (horse), 1665 nucleotides. RefSeq lists it as uncharacterized. The record is from RefSeq and is a predicted model, not a curated record. Lineage: Eukaryota; Metazoa; Chordata; Mammalia; Perissodactyla; Equidae.